Molecule: non-coding RNA, 46 nt
Organism: Xenopus tropicalis (tropical clawed frog)
Lineage: Eukaryota; Metazoa; Chordata; Amphibia; Anura; Pipidae
Source: Rfam
AGAAAGGUUUUUUUAAAAACUACUUAAAGCACAAAAAUUUGAAUGU